RNAcentral lists this ribosomal RNA (467 nucleotides) under uncultured bacterium. RNAcentral's name for it is "partial 16S ribosomal RNA". It matches the Rfam family "Bacterial small subunit ribosomal RNA", at positions 29 to 507 of the family's 1533-position model. The record is from RNAcentral.
ACGAACGCUGGCGGCGUGCUUAACACAUGCAAGUCGAACGGAAAGGCCCUGCUUUUGUGGGGUGCUCGGGUGGCGAACGGGUGAGUAACACGUGAGUAACCUGCCCUUGACUUUGGGAUAACUUCAGGAAACUGGGGCUAAUACCGGAUAGGAGCUCCUGCUGCAUGGUGGGGGUUGGAAAGUUUCGGCGGUUGGGGAUGGACUCGCGGCUUAUCAGCUUGUUGGUGGGGUAGUGGCUUACCAAGGCUUUGACGGGUAGCCGGCCUGAGAGGGUGACCGGCCACAUUGGGACUGAGAUACGGCCCAGACUCCUACGGGAGGCAGCAGUGGGGAAUAUUGCACAAUGGGCGGAAGCCUGAUGCAGCAACGCCGCGUGCGGGAUGACGGCCUUCGGGUGGUAAACCGCUUUCGCCUGUGACGAAGCGUGAGUGACGGUAAUGGGUAAAGAAGCACCGGCUAACUACGUG